CCUGAGAAAUCCAAAAGUUCGAAUGGAGAGAUUCAGCGUCAGUGGCUGUCUGUUGGCUUGCUUGUGACGCGCGAUGCUCUCGCGUCCCGCGGCGUACCCUCGGGUGCGUCGCGGGCUCGCGUGGGGCACGCCGUCGCCGAGUCAUGUCCAACGUCGCCGGCGUGCACUUCUCUCCUAGUAGGACGUCGCGACCCGCUGGGUGUCGGUCAUUUACGGCCCCUAUGGUAGACCGUUGCGCCCCCAGUGCGCUUCGGACCUUGGGUGCGCACUAACACCCGACCGACUGCCCGGCGGUAUUGAAAGCUUUUUUUGAAUCACGAUUGGUAUCGAGCCGCGGAAAACCGCUCGUCGGUUGAACGCGUUCAGGCUUGCCGGUUGAUCGAGUCUCGCUUGGCAAAUUAUACGGACCUGGUGCCGUUGUCGAGCGUUUGAUUCGGUUUUAAUCGCGUCAAUGUCCUCUAACCGGCUCUCACCGGUCAGCGACGCUUUUGCUUUGGAUACUUUCAGG
This 508-nucleotide ribosomal RNA is filed under the name Copidosoma noyesi. RNAcentral's name for it is "eukaryotic LSU rRNA". The record is from RNAcentral. Lineage: Eukaryota; Metazoa; Arthropoda; Insecta; Hymenoptera; Encyrtidae.